AUUGAACGCUGGCGGCAUGCCCUACACAUGCAAGUCGAACGGUAGGGGGAGCAAUCCCCUGAGAGUGGCGAACGGGUGAGUAAAGCAUCGGAACGUGCCCAGUUGUGGGGGAUAACUACUCGAAAGAGUGGCUAAUACCGCAUACGACCUGAGGGUGAAAGCGGGGGACCGAAAGGCCUCGCGCAGUUGGAGCGGCCGAUGUCAGAUUGGCUAGUUGGGGGGGUAAAGGCCCACCAAGGCGACGAUCUGUAGCUGGUCUGAGAGGACGACCAGCCACACUGGGACUGAGACACGGCCCAGACUCCUACGGGAGGCAGCAGUGGGGAAUUUUGGACAAUGGGCGAAAGCCUGAUCCAGCAAUGCCGCGUGCAGGAAGAAGGCCUUCGGGUUGUAAACUGCUUUUGUACGGAGCGAAAAGGUCCUUUCUAAUACAAGGGGCUCAUGACGGUACCGUAAGAAUAAGCACCGGCUAACUACGUGCCAGCAGCCGCCGUAA
This 496-nucleotide ribosomal RNA is filed under the name uncultured bacterium. RNAcentral's name for it is "partial 16S ribosomal RNA". It matches the Rfam family "Bacterial small subunit ribosomal RNA", at positions 29 to 523 of the family's 1533-position model. The record is from RNAcentral.